RNAcentral lists this ribosomal RNA (738 nucleotides) under uncultured Methanocorpusculum sp. Its description in RNAcentral is "bacterial SSU rRNA". It matches the Rfam family "Archaeal small subunit ribosomal RNA", at positions 165 to 908 of the family's 1478-position model. The record is from RNAcentral. Lineage: Archaea; Methanobacteriati; Methanobacteriota; Methanomicrobia; Methanomicrobiales; Methanocorpusculaceae.
AUGUCCUGGAAUGGUAUAUCCUCGAAAGAUCCGUCGCCUUAGGAUGGGACUGCGUCCGAUUAGGUUGUUGGCGGGGUAACGGCCCACCAAGCCUUUUAUCGGUACGGGUUGUGGGAGCAAGAUCCCGGAGAUGGAUUCUGAGACAUGAAUCCAGGCCCUACGGGGCGCAGCAGGCGCGCAAACUUUACAAUGCGAGCAAUCGUGAUAAGGAAACCCUGAGUGCCUGUCGAUGCAGGCUGUUCAUAUAUCUAAAUCAUAUGUGAAGAAAGGGCAGGGCAAGACCGGUGCCAGCCGCCGCGGUAAUACCGGCUGCUCGAGUGAUGGCCACUAUUACUGGGUUUAAAGCGUCCGUAGCUUGACUGUUAGGUCUCUUGGGAAAUCUUCGCGCUCAACGUGAAGGCGUCUAAGAGAUACCGGCAGUCUUGGAACUGGGAGAGGUAAACCGUACUUCGGGGGUAGGAGUGAAAUCUUGUAAUCCUCGAGGGACGACCUAUGGCGAAGGCAGUUUACCAGAACAGCUUCGACAGUGAGGGACGAAAGCUGGGGGAGCAAACGGGAUUAGAUACCCCGGUAGUCCCAGCCGUAAACAAUGUGCGUUAGGUGUGUCGGUAACCACGUGUUACUGAUGCGCCGAAGAGAAAUCGUGAAACGCACCACCUGGGAAGUACGGUCGCAAGGCUGAAACUUAAAGGAAUUGGCGGGGGAGCACCACAACAGGUGGAGCCUGCGGUUUAAUUG